GGGUAGUACGUGCAGGCGAGGGUGGGAAGAGGUGGGGGGCAAGGGUUGUCCGUGUGUAUUGGGGGUGAAGGGAGGGGAGGCGGCCAGGAAGGGCCGUUGUGAAAAGUCGAGGCUCAACCUCGAGACGUCGAUGGAAACCGUCUGGCUAGAGUCCGGAAGAGGAGAGUGGAAUUCCUGGUGUAGCGGUGAAAUGCGCAGAUAUCAGGAAGAACACCUAGGGCGAAGGCAGCUCUCUGGGACGGUACUGACGCUGAGACGCGAAAGCGUGGGGAGCGAACAGGAUUAGAUACCCGAGUAGUC
RNAcentral lists this ribosomal RNA (300 nucleotides) under uncultured Lactobacillus sp. RNAcentral describes it as "bacterial SSU rRNA". The stretch from base 57 to 300 matches the Rfam family "Bacterial small subunit ribosomal RNA", at positions 552 to 795 of the family's 1533-position model. Lineage: Bacteria; Bacillati; Bacillota; Bacilli; Lactobacillales; Lactobacillaceae. The record is from RNAcentral.